This 459-nucleotide ribosomal RNA is filed under the name uncultured bacterium. RNAcentral describes it as "partial 16S ribosomal RNA". It matches the Rfam family "Bacterial small subunit ribosomal RNA", at positions 338 to 795 of the family's 1533-position model. The record is from RNAcentral.
CCUACGGGCGGCUGCAGUGAGGAAUAUUGGUCAAUGGUCGGGAGACUGAACCAGCCAAGCCGCGUGAGGGAGGAAGGUACAGAGUAUCGUAAACCUCUUUUGUCAGGGAACAAAGGCGGGGACGUCUCCCCGGAUGAGUGUACCUGAAGAAAAAGCAUCGGCGAACUCCGUGCCAGCCGCCGCGGUAAUACGGGGGAUGCGAGCGUUAUCCGGAUUUAUUGGGUUGAAAGGGUGCGCAGUCGGUAUGUUAAGUCAGCGGUCAAACCCCGGGGCUCAACCCCGGCCCGCCGUUGAAACUGGCAGUCUCGAGUGGGAGAGAAGUAUGCGGAAUGCGCGGUGUAGCGGUGAAAUGCAUAGAUAUCGCGCAGAACUCCGAUUGCGAAGGCAGCAUGCCGGCUCCACACUGACGCUGAGGCACGAAAGCGUGGGUAUCGAACAGGAUUAGAUACCCCAGUAGUC